Long non-coding RNA from Bombina bombina (fire-bellied toad), 696 nucleotides. RefSeq lists it as uncharacterized. The record is from RefSeq and is a predicted model, not a curated record. The transcript is spliced from 4 exons. NCBI's taxonomy places the organism in Eukaryota, Metazoa, Chordata, Amphibia, Anura, Bombinatoridae.
GCAAGCGGACCGCUCCGGACAUUUUUAAAGUACCAUUUGGAAGUAUACUUAUGAGAUGGUGACCUGUUUCCUACAUCACUACUUCACCACCAAAUGAAGAAAAAAAAUACAGCGGCCUAGAAAUAAGGUUUUACAAUUAAUUUCAUAAUAUAUGGAAUUCAAAGAAAAAUUUGAUUCUCCGAACAUGACAAAAAUCAAGUUUGGAGACUUAUAACAGAGAGGCUGAGGAAGGAUUCUUUUCCUGUCCGAAUAGAGCAGGUGGAAAAUGCCAUGGAAGAGGCGAUUGGCAAAAUGCCAGAAAUAGCACCGGUCGCAACCUGCCAAAGCAGCAAAGUGAAUUAAGUUUCUGCUUCAUCAUCAUCGACCACACCCAGUAUGAUAGAAACUCCAACUACCUAUCCACCUGAUUCAAUAACUCCUCUUUCAACUCCAAGAAAAAGAAAUAAAAGGAGUUUUGAAGUCAUAUCUGAUGUCCUUUCUGAAUUCAGGGAAGAUUUACGAGUCAGAAGGGAGGAAAGGAAAGAGGAGAGAAAACAAUUAUUUUCUUUAUUAGAAAAAUUAAUCGAUAAAUAUUGGUAAUAUACCAGAUGUUAUUUAUCUGAAAUGUCAGUUUUUUCAACAGUUCUUUAAAGAAGUUGUAUAAUUUAAAAAAAAAAAAAUUGUUCUUCAUUAAAAAGUUUCUUAUUACAGAUAAAA